ACUAAGGCUUGCGGCAUGCCUAACACAUUCAAGUCGAACGAGACCUUCGGGUCUAGUUGCUCACGGGUUCGUGACUCGUGGGAACCUGCCCUUAGGUUCGGAAUAACUCCCCGGAAGGGGUGCUAAUACCGGAUAAUGUCUUCGGACCAAAGAUUUAUCGCCUUUGGAUGGGCCCGCGUUGUAUUAGCUAGUUGGUAGGGUAAAAGCCUACCAAGGCUACGAUCCAUAGCUGGUCUGAGAGGAUGAUCAGCCACACUGGGACUGAGACACGGCCGAGAAUACUACGCGAGGCAGGAGUGGGGAAUACAGGAAAGUGGGCGAAAGCAUGAUGCAGCAAUGCUGCGUGAGUGAUGAAGGCCUUAGGGUUGUAAAGCUCUUUUACACGGGAUGAUAAUGACAGUACCGGGAGAAUAAGCUCCGGCUAACUCCGUG
This 432-nucleotide ribosomal RNA is filed under the name uncultured bacterium. Its description in RNAcentral is "partial 16S ribosomal RNA". It matches the Rfam family "Bacterial small subunit ribosomal RNA", at positions 29 to 507 of the family's 1533-position model. The record is from RNAcentral.